Molecule: ribosomal RNA, 253 nt
Filed under: uncultured bacterium
Lineage: Bacteria
Description: partial 16S ribosomal RNA
Rfam family: Bacterial small subunit ribosomal RNA
Source: RNAcentral
UACGUAGGGGGCAAGCGUUGUCCGGAUUUAUUGGGCGUAAAGAGCGUGUAGGCGGCUAGGUAGGUCCGUUGUGAAAACUCGAGGCUCAACCUCGAGACGCCGGUGGAAACCAUCUAGCUAGAGUCCGGAAGAGGAGAGUGGAAUUCCUGGUGUAGCGGUGAAAUGCGUAGAUAUCGGGAGGAACAUCAGUGGCGAAGGCGGCUACCUGGCCCAAUACUGACACUCAGGUGCGACAGCGUGGGGAGCAAACAGG